RNAcentral lists this ribosomal RNA (450 nucleotides) under uncultured bacterium. Its description in RNAcentral is "partial 16S ribosomal RNA". It matches the Rfam family "Bacterial small subunit ribosomal RNA", at positions 354 to 796 of the family's 1533-position model. The record is from RNAcentral.
GUGGGGAAUAUUGGACAAUGGGCGCAAGCCUGAUCCAGCCAUACCGCGUGGGUGAAGAAGGCCUUCGGGUUGUAAAGCCCUUUUGUUGGGAAAGAAAUCCUGUCGGUUAAUACCUGGCGGGGAUGACGGUACCCAAAGAAUAAGCACCGGCUAACUUCGUGCCAGCAGCCGCGGUAAUACGAAGGGUGCAAGCGUUACUCGGAAUUACUGGGCGUAAAGCGUGCGUAGGUGGUGGUUUAAGUCCGUUGUGAAAGCCCUGGGCUCAACCUGGGAAUUGCAGUGGAUACUGGAUCACUAGAGUGUGGUAGAGGGAUGCGGAAUUUCUGGUGUAGCAGUGAAAUGCGUAGAGAUCAGAAGGAACAUCCGUGGCGAAGGCGGCAUCCUGGGCCAACACUGACACUGAGAGACGAAAGCGAGGGGAGCAAAAGGGAUUAGAAACCCUAGUAGUCC